Molecule: long non-coding RNA, 1153 nt
Organism: Homo sapiens (human)
Lineage: Eukaryota; Metazoa; Chordata; Mammalia; Primates; Hominidae
Gene: SMC2-DT
Product: SMC2 divergent transcript
Source: Ensembl
ACACAUACAGCCACAAAGCAAGACCUAGGAGAAAUAUUUGGUGCUCUACUCUCCUAGGGAACUGGAAGGAACCUGCUCUCUCCUGGGUAUACUUUUCUAAUUUUAGAGUGCUAAAGAAGCUCUUCUCACAGGGACCCGAGUGAAUCCUUUCUCCUUGGAACAAAGGACAAGAAAAAAAGAAAGGACUUUACCGCAGAAAUGAUGAAGAUCAUGUCUCCAAGUCUUUUCUGCCGUUGCCAGUAUUCUCUCCCAAUCUCCUGUGGGCAACUUCUUCGGGAAAACACUCAUGCAAUUUCAUAAGGACAAGCGAAAAUAUGAAGAAGCUGGAUCUUGGAACUAGGCUUUGAUCACAGAGCGGAGCUGAGAUGAAAGUCCAUCCACUCAUUCAACAAAUAAUUGAAUGCCACAUUUUGUUGGAACUCAGAGUUAUGAGUGGCCCUCGCCAUACCUACACUUUCUGACUGAGCUCCUCUCUACCCUGAAUACAAGAGACCCUAAUAGGCAGGAAUAUCAUCACCCCUCUUCAGCCUGAAGAUGUUACAGAAGAUGGAUAUUUGUCCGUUUACAACCCUUAAGAUUAAGGGUUCCCCUGUAAAAGGGAGGGGGAAAAUAUGUCAGAGAUGUUUGAACCAGAGCAACUUCGUCCUGAAUAGUGGCUCGGUAAAGUGAGGCUGACACCUAUGGACUGCAUUCCCAGGAGGUUAGGCAUUCUUAGUUACGGGAUGAAAUAGGAGUUUGGCACAAGAUGGGUCAUAAAGACCUUGCUGAUAAAAGGAUGUGGUACAGAAGCUGGCCAAAACUCACCAAAAUCAAGAUGUGAUGAAAGUGACUUCUGGUAGUCCUCACUCCUCAUUACACUAAUUAUAAUGCAUUAGCAUGCUAAAAGACACGUUCACCAGCACCAUUAUGGUUUACAAAUGCCAUGGCAAUAUCAGCAAGUUACCCUAUAUGGUCUUAAAAGGGGAGGAACCCUCAGUUCUGGGAAUUGCCCACCACUUUCCCAGGAAACUCAUGAAUAAUCCACCCUUUAUUUAGCAAAUAAUCAAGAAAUAACUAUAAGUAUAAUCAGUUGAGCAGCCCAUGCCACUGCUCUGCCUGUGGAAUAGCCACUCUUUUAUUCCUUUACUUUUUUAAUAAACUUGUUUUCACUUUA